AGAGUUUGAUUCUGGCUCAGAAUGAACGCUGGCGGCGUGCUUAACACAUGCAAGUCGAGCGAGAAAGUUUCUUCGGAAGCGAGUACAGCGGCGGACGGGUGAGUAACGCGUGAGAAUCUGCCCUUCAGUGAAGGAUACCUUCGAGAAAUUGAAGUUAAUACUGCAUACGUCCCUUCGGGGAGAAAGAUGGCCUCUUGCUGUCGCUGAUGGAUGAGCUCGCGUACUAUUAGUUUGUUGGUGGGGUAAUGGCCUACCAAGACGAUGAUGGUUAGCCGGCCUGAGAGGUGAACGGCCACACUGGAACUUAGACACGGUCCAGACUCCUACGGGAGGCAGCAGUGAGGAAUAUUGCGCAAUGGGCGAAAGCCUGACGCAGCAACGCCGCGUGGGGGAUGAAGGUUCUAGGAUCGUAAACUCCUGUUAAGUGGGAAGAAAGCCCUUCUUUUAAUAGAAGAGGGGGAUGACGGUACCAUUAGAGAAAGCACCGGCUAACUUCGUGCCAGCAGCCGCGGUAAUACGAGGGGUGCAAGCGUUAUUCGGAUUUAUUGGGCGUAAAGGGUGUGUAGACGGCAUGCUAAGUCGAUUGUUAAAUCCUCCGGCCUAACCGGAGUUCAGCAUUCGAUACUGGCAAGCUAGAGGGUGAGAGAGAGAAGUGGAAUUCUCGGAGUAGCGGUAAAAUGCGUAGAUCUCGAGAGGAACACCAAUGGCGAAGGCAGCUUCUUGGCUCACUCCUGACGUUGAGACACGAAAGCGUGGGGAGCAAACAGGAUUAGAUACCCUGGUAGUCCACGCCGUAAACGAUGAUCACUGGACGUCAGUUCUGUUUAACAGGAUUGGUGUCGUAGCUAACGCGCUAAGUGAUCCGCCUGGGGAUUACGGUCGCAAGACUAAAACUCAAAGAAAUUGACGGGGGUCCGCACAAGCGGUGGAACAUGUGGUUUAAUUCGACACUCCGCGAGGAACCUUACCUAGGCUUGACAUGCUUUUGACCGCUAUAGGAACAUAGCUUUCCAAGCUUCGGUUUGGACAAUUGCACAGGUGCUGCAUGGCUGUCGUCAGCUCGUGUCGUGAGAUGUUGGGUUAAGUCCUUUAACGAGCGCAACUCCUACUGCCAGUUGCUACUAUUAAGUUAAGCACUCUGGUGGGACUGCCUGGGAAACCAGGAGGAAGGUGGGAAUGACGUCAAGUCCUCAUGGCCCUUAUGCCUAGGGCUACACACGUGUUACAAUGGUCGGUACAAAGAGUCGCCAACCCGCAAGGGCGAGCUAAUCUCAGAAAGCCGAUCUAAGUUCGGAUUGAGGUCUGCAACUCGACCUCAUGAAGUUGAAAUCGCUAGUAAUCGCGUAUCAGAAACGACGCGGUGAAUACGUUCUCGGACCUUGUACACACCGCCCGUCACACCACGAAAGUUGUCUGUACCCGAAGUUGCUUUAGCUAACCUGUAAGGGAGGCGAGUACCUAAGGUAUGGGGGAUGAUUG
RNAcentral lists this ribosomal RNA (1479 nucleotides) under metagenome. RNAcentral's name for it is "bacterial SSU rRNA". It matches the Rfam family "Bacterial small subunit ribosomal RNA". The record is from RNAcentral.